RNAcentral lists this ribosomal RNA (496 nucleotides) under uncultured bacterium. RNAcentral describes it as "partial 16S ribosomal RNA". It matches the Rfam family "Bacterial small subunit ribosomal RNA", at positions 28 to 507 of the family's 1533-position model. The record is from RNAcentral.
GAUGAACGCUGGCGGCGUGCCUAAUACAUGCAAGUCGAGCGAACAGAUGAGGAGCUUGCUCCUCUGACGUUGCGGCGGACGGGUGAGUAACACGUGGAUAACCUACCUAUAAGACUGGGAUAACUUCGGGAAACCGGAGCUAAUACCGGAUAAUAUAUUGAACCGCAUGGUUCAAUAGUGAAAGACGGUUUUGCUGUCACUUAUAGAUGGAUCCGCGCCGCAUUAGCUAGUUGGUAAGGUAACGGCUUACCAAGGCAACGAUGCGUAGCCGACCUGAGAGGGUGAUCGGCCACACUGGAACUGAGACACGGUCCAGACUCCUACGGGAGGCAGCAGUAGGGAAUCUUCCGCAAUGGGCGAAAGCCUGACGGAGCAACGCCGCGUGAGUGAUGAAGGUCUUCGGAUCGUAAAACUCUGUUAUUAGGGAAGAACAAAUGUGUAAGUAACUAUGCACGUCUUGACGGUACCUAAUCAGAAAGCCACGGCUAACUACGUG